This 639-nucleotide ribosomal RNA is filed under the name uncultured Actinomycetes bacterium. RNAcentral describes it as "bacterial SSU rRNA". It matches the Rfam family "Bacterial small subunit ribosomal RNA", at positions 232 to 885 of the family's 1533-position model. The record is from RNAcentral. Lineage: Bacteria; Bacillati; Actinomycetota; Actinomycetes.
CGCGGCCUAUCAGCUUGUUGGUGAGGUAACGGCUCACCAAGGCAUCGACGGGUAGCUGGUCUGAGAGGACGAUCAGCCACACUGGGACUGAGACACGGCCCAGACUCCUACAGGAGGCAGCAGUAGGGAAUCUUGCGCAAUGGGCGAAAGCCUGACGCAGCAACGCCGCGUGGGGGAUGAAUGCCUUCGGGUUGUAAACCCCUUUCAGCAGGGACGAAAAUGACGGUACCUGCAGAAGAAGCUCCGGCCAACUACGUGCCAGCAGCCGCGGUAAUACGUAGGGAGCGAGCGUUGUCCGGAAUUAUUGGGCGUAAAGAGCUCGUAGGCGGUUCAGUAAGUCGGGUGUGAAAACUCAAGGCUCAACCUUGAGACGCCACUCGAUACUGCUGUGACUUGAGUCCGGUAGAGGAGUGUGGAAUUCCUGGUGUAGCGGUGAAAUGCGCAGAUAUCAGGAGGAACACCAGCGGCGAAGGCGGCACUCUGGGCCGGUACUGACGCUGAGGAGCGAAAGCAUGGGGAGCAAACAGGAUUAGAUACCCUGGUAGUCCAUGCCGUAAACGUUGGGCACUAGGUAUGGGAUCAUAUCAACGGAUUCCGUGCCGUAGCUAACGCAUUAAGUGCCCCGCCUGGGGAGUACGG